CAAUAUCCACUCUCAUGCAUGGACACUGUAUUAGAGUUCUUGAGGAAAGCAGAACCAGCAGAUGAGGAAAUUGAAAUGCACAGAGCUGAGAAGGAGGAAGCAUGAAUACAGGAAGAGGUAGAGAGAAUGUAGAAGAACAGAACCAUCACACUUUCACAUCCAGUUAUCUCACUUGAGCUUUGCAGCUAUUUGAGGAGAGGGGUAAGGACAACAGUGGGUGUGGUGGCCCAGGUGGCCUCCCUCCUACACACCUGGCAAGCUCCUAGCACCCUCUGCAAACUUUCCUGAUUAGUGAGGUCAGCACCUCUUUCUGGAGGGCAGGAUCCCUGCUUCUUCCAGCCAGGAACUGUGUGGAAAGAAGAGAUUUGACAAGAGGCCAGAGCUAACGUCACCAGGCUCUCAGAUACCCUUAUCUAGCUGGCUUCACCUGAUCUGCCCCACCCUGUUUCCUGCUUGAUGGUGGGGAAACCCCCGGAAGCACACUGAGAUGCAAAAUGAAAUUCAG
Molecule: long non-coding RNA, 505 nt
Organism: Heterocephalus glaber (naked mole-rat)
Lineage: Eukaryota; Metazoa; Chordata; Mammalia; Rodentia; Bathyergidae
Source: Ensembl